Molecule: ribosomal RNA, 422 nt
Filed under: uncultured bacterium
Lineage: Bacteria
Description: bacterial SSU rRNA
Rfam family: Bacterial small subunit ribosomal RNA
Source: RNAcentral
GGAAUUGUUCGCAAUGGGCGCAAGCCUGACGACGCAACGCCGCGUGGAGGAUGAAGAUUUUCGGAUCGUAAACUCCUGUCGAAUGGGACGAAUAGGUUGCGGGUUAACCGCCCGUGAUCCUGACGGUACCGUUACAGGACACCCCGGCUACCUCCGUGCCAGCCGCCGCGGUAAUACGGGGGGGGUAAGCGUUGUUCGGAAUUACUGGGCGUAAAGGGCUCGUAGGCGGCCAACUAAGUCAUACGUGAAAUCCCUCAGCUUAACUGGGGAACUGCGUCUGAUACUGGAUGGCUCGGAUUUGGGAGAGGGAUGCGGAAUUCCAGGUGUAGCGGUGAAAUGCGUAGAUAUCUGGAGGAACACCGGUGGCGAAGGCGGCAUCCUGGACCAACAUUGACGCUGAGGAGCGAAAGCCAGGGGAGCAA